CUGAGUGGGAGAGCAGCAGGCGAUGCGCGAAAGGCGGGACUUGGAGAUAAAUACUGAGCACCCACUACAGGCAGCCAGCACCACUGCAGAUUGGAUACUGCUAUGAUGAUAAGCAUGGCCUGCCUUUAUGGAGGUUCUGGAUGUUCCUGUGGAUAACCUCAAGGAGCAGGGGACCUGGGACAUGACUGCCCCCAGCAUUCCUUCUGGCGGCAGACAGAGUUUGUCAGUUCGCCAACAUCCUGCUUUCAUGAGAACAGUUUGCUGUUUGCUCACAGAGCCUCCAGUGGUAUACUGAGUUGGUCACGACCCUCAUUCCUUCGGCCUCCAACAUCUCCCCUUUUGUUUUUGCAUUAAUUGAAUAAAGGUAAUUUCAGGCUGUGCAGCUUUCAAUUGCCGGUUGGUGGUUCACCCGAUCCUAUAGACUAUGAGCAAAAAAACAGAGACAUAACAACAUUAUUCUUGUAAUUAUUAUAAAAGAGACAUUGAAGUUAUGUUUAAGGUAGGUCCAAGGGUUGAGGCUUUUUUUUUUUUUUUUUUUUUUUUUGAGAUGGAGUCUCGCUCUGUCGCCCAGGCUGGAGUGCAGUGGCGCCAUCUUGGCUCACUGCAAGCUCCGCCUCCCGGGUUCACAUCAUUCUCCCACCUCAGCCUCCUGAUUAGCUGGGACUACAGGUGCCCGCCACCACACCCGGCUAGGGUUGAGGCUUUCUAAGCCCUGCUGGAAUUCUGUUUAAGCUUCUAAAAAGGGCUGUUAUUUUUGAGUUUGCUUAUUCAAGUUAAGAAUUUUACUCUGUAAGUUACUGAUAUCAAAAGUAAUAUUGGAUGUAAAAGCUCCCUGCAAAUGAGCUUUUACAAGGUUCCAUGGAUAUUCACUUUGGUUCUAUUCCAAAUUGGUCACACAAAUAUGAAUAUGAUUGAAAUGACAGUGCAAUUGCUGCUGCAAUUGCAAACUUUGUACCUGCUUUCCCAGCCACAGAACAGUAGUCUUUAACAUUGCUACCUUUGUUUGUAAUUCGGUAUUAAUUUUAUUUUGAAGCAUCCAUGCCUGGUUGGCUGUACAUGUCCAAUUUUCUACAUAUUGGGCUGUUUGAAUAGAACUAUGUAGUGCUACUGAGGACACUACAACCGAGGUUUUUAGUGUGACUAAGGAGAUUACAGUAAAAAUUACUAUGUUUAAGGCUUUACAUGCACGAUGAGUGAGCUGGGUAAGAAGGAGUUUUACAAAAUGUAAAGCAGGGGUGGCAGCCCAAGGUUUGCACAAAUUGACAGGGAUCCAUAAUCCAGGGAUACGACCCAGAAUUAUUAGAGUGGAUAUGUUGUGUGUUUGUAUUGUGCUAUGAUUGAGGCAGUGAUACAGUUGACAAGAGUCACAAGUCAACUGGGUGAUGUUUACGUGGAGUUGGUCCUUCUUAGAUGCUAGAAAAACAUACGGAUUAAAAACACAAACUGGCCGGGCACGGUGGCUCACGCCUGUAAUCCCA
RNAcentral lists this long non-coding RNA (1478 nucleotides) under Pan troglodytes (chimpanzee). Its description in RNAcentral is "long non-coding RNA NONPTRT008665". The record is from RNAcentral. Lineage: Eukaryota; Metazoa; Chordata; Mammalia; Primates; Hominidae.